Styela clava is the source of this 1059-nucleotide long non-coding RNA. RefSeq lists it as uncharacterized. The record is from RefSeq and is a predicted model, not a curated record. NCBI's taxonomy places the organism in Eukaryota, Metazoa, Chordata, Ascidiacea, Stolidobranchia, Styelidae.
GUCACCACUUUCUUUCUUCGUCAUGACGAGACAAAAUAUUUCUCUAAGUUUAGCCAAGACAGGCGUGGGCCGCAACUCAGCAUAUUUUAUCUACAUUUUUAAUAGCAUGUCAAAGGUUUGUGGAAAAAAGGUAGAGGCUUUAUAAAUGAGGCAACGCCGUAAUGUUGACAUAUCGGUGUUGAAAUAUUCAGAGUAGCUUAGCUUCAAAACAAACGCGUUACAAAAUAACUUCAAAAGAAUACGCGUUUAUACUUCAAAUAUAUUUUAUUUUAAAAAUGGAUGUUUGCCGGAAGAAUAUGAUUGUUUUCUUUAUGUUAUUUCUUAUUUGCGGGCCAAUAAUAACAGAUGCAUUGGUGGUUAUAAGCUCUGAAGAAAUGAACUGUUUCAAGAAAAUUCAAAUUUCUGGUCAUGUGUCUCGUCACUGUAGGAAAGUUUUACAUCUCGGACGUUUGCGAAGGAAAAAACACCACAGUCGCUAGCAGUAGGAUGUCUGCUUCAAAAAUUCAACCAGCAAAAGUCUUCAUCGGGACUAAAUAACAAACUUGUUCAAGUGAUUUCAAUUCUGCCAUAAAGAAUUUAUUUAAGCCACCGUGUAGAAGAUUUAUGACGUUGUGGUUAACAUGUUCGACGAAGUGCAAAUAAAAGCUGGCAUGGACCAUAAGGGCGUACGUUCAAAGCAUAUUUAUCACAGCUUGAGCUAUGUAAAGUUCGAAGUCUGUAUGUAGGUUUCUUCUGAAGGCGACUAGAGUUUGAUUCAUCCAUGUAAGGCAAAUCAUGUCGCAGAAGUUAUCCCCAAUUAUUGAUCAAAAUGCAUGGCCCGAUCAACUGAAACUCCCUUCCAAUCAUCAAUAUUUUUACUUCUUGUUUUUAUCAUAUUAUGCGGCAUGUGUAAAAAUUAGUAUACAGUAAUUUUAUCGUGAAAGUAAAAAGUAAUUUUUCUUGUGUAAAAUCUGCAUAAAUGCGAUAUUUUUUAUAGCGAUAUGAGUAUAUUUUUACUUUGUGUUUUUUCAAUAUUCAUUUAUAAAUAUAUCAGAUGUUCAAUAAAUUAUUUAUUCAUGA